CUUAACAAACUAAAUUCUGACAAAUAUUAAGACACUAUCAUGUUGAAAAGACAUGAAUAAACAUCAAUCUCUUAUACUAAAGCAAAAUAAUGUUUGACUUUUUGACUUUGAUGUGGCAAUGCUCUUUGCCAGAGAAUUGUUUUUUUAGGCGCCAUUCUCCUUCUUCUUUCAUCAAUGUCUCUUUAGAUUAUAUAUGGAAGGUUGAAAACUUAAUCAAUUAUUGGAAUUUUUUUAGGAAAUUAUGAAACCGUUUCCAAUUCUACGGCCUAUAUACAAAUUCUUGCUUUUAAUCGGAUGAAACGACGACUGAAGAAGCCUGCUCUGUUUUAUCUUCAUCAUCAGACUUUGAAAUUCAAGCAUCGAAGUUUCAUUCUACCUCUAAGAAGAACGAUGGCGGCAUACCACUCUCUUCGGCUAUGAAAUUGACGAUUGAAAAAGGAUCCUUCAAUAUCUACCUCCGGUUUAUGUUAUUUUUGGCUAUUGAUGUUGAGAUCAAGCUUUUCUAUAUGCAAUGGAAGAGCAAUACAAGCCAUUGAAAGAAUUUGGUGUCGGGGAUUUUGUAGUAGCAAGCCUGGUUAUCGAUAAGAAGAUGAAAGAACUGUUUGCUAUCAAAUACAAUGAAUGAGGGAAACAGCCUGAUAUCUGGGAUGAACAUCAGGAUGGAAUAUGGAAACCACCAAAGAUACCAUAUCCGGCAUACAAAGGUGGCUGCUUUUAGGGGUGAGCAAACGGGGCGAAUCCGCUAGAACUGGAUCAAACUAACCCGGAACUGAGAACCGAAUGCGGUGUAUUUCAAGAACCUGAACCGAACCUUAUAAUACAUACACGGGUCAGGUUUUUAAACGGUUUCAAGUUUCGGUUCCAAUGGUUUUCACGGAACCUUCCAACAAUGAUUUGAGCUUCAUACAUACAACAGUUUUUCUGAGUUUUGUUUUUGGACCCAAACACUCUUGAAAAUCUGUAUUUUUUACUUCAUUUGUUGGAAGUUGUAAUAGGACGAUUUGUUGCUGCUGCUACUACAGCUGUUUCGGUCAAAGGAGUCUUGCCAGCUAUCUUAUUUUGGGUGUGAUCAUUCUGGAAACUCAUCAAGCAUAUGGAUUGCUGGUGCAUUUGCUCUCCAAGCUGCAGGUUUUCACCUUUUUAAAUCUUUUAUCAUCUGACCAAGUUAACCGGUGCAUCAGGAUUUAACUACUGAAACUAUUUUUGAAAGCUCUUAAUUUCUUAAAAGCAUACGUGCUUCAAGACCAAGAGGCACAUGCAACACAGAUGGAGUCAUAUUUUCAUGGAUAUCAAGCCAGAUGGUGUGUGAAGAGGUUGUGCCAAAAGGCCAUGUUUUGGUUCAAGGUGGCAUUUGUGAUGAAUUUCUCUCCACAUAUUUGUCUCCAUCAAUGGGAUGGUAAGCAUGACGUGUAAUAAAUUAGUUAUAGGAGAUAAUUUAUGGAUGUACCUCUGUUGUUUGAAGUUGUAAUAAUGAUUACUUAACUCUUAAACUGUAAUCAGAAGUAGAUAUGUUUAGUCCAAAUAUAUUUUUAGAAUA
Molecule: long non-coding RNA, 1537 nt
Organism: Helianthus annuus (common sunflower)
Lineage: Eukaryota; Viridiplantae; Streptophyta; Magnoliopsida; Asterales; Asteraceae
Exons: 8
Source: RefSeq, a predicted model, not a curated record